Molecule: ribosomal RNA, 1303 nt
Filed under: Ancistrocheirus sp. 2 FFA-2023
Lineage: Eukaryota; Metazoa; Mollusca; Cephalopoda; Oegopsida; Ancistrocheiridae
Description: 16S ribosomal RNA
Rfam family: Bacterial large subunit ribosomal RNA
Source: RNAcentral
AAUAGAUCUAUUUUGUUAGAUUAUUUAAAUUGUUUGUUUACGUAGUAUUAGUAGUAUAGAAGUGGUGUUGAAUGAAGUACUGUAAAGGAAGAUGAAAAUAGUAGUUAUUUGUCUAGUAGUAGAGAUCUAUCCUCGUACCUUUUGUAUAAUGGAUUGAUGAUUAGAUGUUGUUUUAUAACAUACUCUCGAAGUGGAAGGAUUUACCUGGUAAGUAUAUGUUAACGUUGUAUAGUUAUAUAUUGAUUACUAGGUGGUAAUGAAAUGUUUAUCGUUUUUCGUGAUAGCUAGUUUAUUAGUGUAGUAUAUUUAAGUAUUGUAAGGUUGAUAUAGAAUACAUUCACUAGUGUCAAUCUUAGUCAAUUAUAAGGGGGAUAAGCUUCUUAUAACAUAUCAGAACUGAUUAGAUUUAAUAUACAACCUAAGUAGAAUUAAUAAUGUUUUCCUUUAAAAGUAGUUUAGGUUUAUUGGGUUUACCCGUAAAGGUUCGUUUAAAUAGCUAAUAAAUAUCUACUAAUUGUUUAUAGAUAUAUAUAAUGUUAAUAUGAGUAUUAAUAAUUGUUAUAAUAGUUUAAGUAUUAACUGCAGAUGUAUUCAGUCGGUAUGUUAAAGUGUAGUAAAUUGGGGUAAAGGAAUUCGGCAAAUACUAAUCUCGCCUGUUUAUCAAAAACAUGUCUCUUUGUUUAGGUACACAUAAAGAGUCGGGCCUGCUCGGUGAACAAAAUUGUUUUAACAGCUGCGGUAUUUUAACUGUACUAAGGUAGCAUAAUAAUUUGCCUUAUAAUUUGAGGCUAGAAUGAAUGGUUUGACGAAGGUUAAACUGUCUCUAUCCUAUUUUUUAGAAUUUAAUUUACAUAGUGAAAAAGCUUGUAUUUUUUAAAGGGACGAGAAGACCCUAAUGAGCUUUAACUUUAUUAUUACUUGGUUAUUGAUUGAUGAAGUACUAUAUAAGUUUUAAUUGGGGUGAUUAAGGAAUAAAAAUAAACAGUAACUUCCUUAGGGUAUAAAUUGUUGGAUAAAUUAACCAAUAUUAUUGCUUAUAAUAGAGUUACCAUAGGGAUAACAGCGUAAUUUAUUUUGAGAGUUCUUAUUGAAAAAUGAGAUUGCGACCUCGAUGUUGGAUUAAAGUAACCUUAAGGUGCAGAAGCUUUAAAAGGUAAAUCUGUUCGAUUUUUAAAACUUUACAUGAUCUGAGUUCAGACCGGCGUGAGCCAGGUUGGUUUCUAUCUUUUAAGAAUGUAAGAGGCUUUUCUUAGUACGAGAGGAUCAGAGAACGCUAACAUUUAUGUUGUUAAUAUACAAAGUU